GACGAACGCUGGCGGCGUGCCUAAUACAUGCAAGUUGAGCGCUGAAGGUUGGUACUUGUACCCACUGGAUGAGCAGCGAACGGGUGAGUAACGCGUGGGGAAUCUGCCUUUGAGCGGGGGACAACAUUUGGAAACGAAUGCUAAUGCCGCAUAAAAACUUUAAACACAAGUUUUAAGUUUGAAAGAUGCAAUUGCCUCACUCAAAGAUGAUCCCGCGUUGUAUUAGCUAGUUGGUGAGGUAAAGGCUCACCAAGGCGAUGAUACAUAGCCGACCUGAGAGGGUGAUCGGCCACAUUGGGACUGAGACACGGCCCAAACUCCUACGGGAGGCAGCAGUAGGGAAUCUUCGGCAAUGGACGAAAGUCUGACCGAGCAACGCCGCGUGAGCGAAGAAGGUUUUCGGAUCGUAAAACUCUGUUGGUAGAGAAGAACGUUGGGGAGAGUGGAAAGCUCAUCAAGUGACGGUAACUACCCAGAAAGGGACGGCUAACUACGUG
RNAcentral lists this ribosomal RNA (497 nucleotides) under uncultured bacterium. Its description in RNAcentral is "partial 16S ribosomal RNA". It matches the Rfam family "Bacterial small subunit ribosomal RNA", at positions 28 to 507 of the family's 1533-position model. The record is from RNAcentral.